GACGAACGUUGGCGGCGUGCUUAACACAUGCAAGUCGAACGGAAAGGCCCUGCUUUUGUGGGGUGCUCGAGUGGCGAACGGUUGAGUAACACGUGAGUAACCUGCCCUUGACUUUGGGAUAACUUCAGGAAACUGGGGCUAAUACCGGAUAGGAGCUCCUGCUGCAUGGUGGGGGUUGGAAAGUUUCGGCGGUUGGGGAUGGACUCGCGGCUUAUCAGCUUGUUGGUGGGGUAGUGGCUUACCAAGGCUUUGACGGGUAGCCGGCCUGAGAGGGUGACCGGCCACAUUGGGACUGAGAUACGGCCCAGACUCCUACGGGAGGCAGCAGUGGGGAAUAUUGCACAAUGGGCGGAAGCCUGAUGCAGCAACGCCGCGUGCGGGAUGACGGCCUUCGGGUUGUAAACCGCUUUCGCCUGUGACGAAGCGUGAGUGACGGUAAUGGGUAAAGAAGCACCGGCUAACUACGUGCCAGCAGCCGCGGUGAUACGUAGGGUGCGAGCGUUGUCCGGAUUUAUUGGGCGUAAAGGGCUCGUAGGUGGUUGAUCGCGUCGGAAGUGUAAUCUUGGGGCUUAACCCUGAGCGUGCUUUCGAUACGGGUUGACUUGAGGAAGGUAGGGGAGAAUGGAAUUCCUGGUGGAGCGGUGGAAUGCUCAGAUAUCAGGAGGAACACCAGUGGCGAAGGCGGUUCUCUGGGCCUUUCCUGACGCUGAGGAGCGAAAGCGUGGGGAGCGAACAGGCUUAGAUACCCUGGUAGUCCACGCUGUAAACGGUGGGUACUAGGUGUGGGGUCCAUUCCACGGGUUCCGUGCCGUAGCUAACGCUUUAAGUACCCCGCCUGGGGAGUACGGCCGCAAGGCUAAAACUCAAAGGAAUUGACGGGGCCCCGCACAAGCGGCGGAGCAUGCGGAUUAAUUCGAUGCAACGCGUAGAACCUUACCUGGGUUUGACAUGGAUCGGGAGUGCUCAGAGAUGGGUGUGCCUCUUUUGGGGUCGGUUCACAGGUGGUGCAUGCCUGUCGUCAGCUCGUGUCGUGAGAUGUUGGGUUAAGUCCCGCAACGAGCGCAACCCUUGUUCACUGUUGCCAGCACGUUAUGGUGGGGACUCAGUGGAGACCGCCGGGGUCAACUCGGAGGAAGGUGGGGAUGACGUCAAGUCAUCAUGCCCCUUAUGUCCAGGGCUUCACGCAUGCUACAAUGGCUGGUACAGAGAGUGGCGAGCCUGUGAGGGUGAGCGAAUCUCGGAAAGCCGGUCUCAGUUCGGAUUGGGGUCUGCAACUCGACCUCAUGAAGUCGGAGUCGCUAGUAAUCGCAGAUCAGCAACGCUGCGGUGAAUACGUUCCCGGG
Molecule: ribosomal RNA, 1343 nt
Filed under: uncultured bacterium
Lineage: Bacteria
Description: 16S ribosomal RNA
Rfam family: Bacterial small subunit ribosomal RNA
Source: RNAcentral